RNAcentral lists this ribosomal RNA (497 nucleotides) under uncultured bacterium. RNAcentral's name for it is "partial 16S ribosomal RNA". It matches the Rfam family "Bacterial small subunit ribosomal RNA", at positions 28 to 507 of the family's 1533-position model. The record is from RNAcentral.
GAUGAACGCUGGCGGCGUGCCUAAUACAUGCAAGUCGAGCGAACGGACGAGAAGCUUGCCUCUCUGAUGUUAGCGGCGGACGGGUGAGUAACACGUGGAUAACCUACCUAUAAGACUGGGAUAACUUCGGGAAACCGGAGCUAAUACCGGAUAAUAUUUUGAACCGCAUGGUUCAAAAGUGAAAGACGGUCUUGCUGUCACUUAUAGAUGGAUCCGCGCUGCAUUAGCUAGUUGGUAAGGUAACGGCUUACCAAGGCAACGAUGCAUAGCCGACCUGAGAGGGUGAUCAGCCACACUGGAACUGAGACACGGUCCAGACUCCUACGGGAGGCAGCAGUAGGGAAUAUUCCGCAAUGGGCGAAAGCCUGACGGAGCAACGCCGCGUGAGUGAUGAAGGUCUUCGGAUCGUAAAACACUGUUAUUAGGGAAGAACAGAUGUGUAAGUAACUGUGCACAUCUUGACGUUACCUAAUCAGAAAGCCACGGCUAACUACGUG